RNAcentral lists this ribosomal RNA (468 nucleotides) under uncultured bacterium. RNAcentral's name for it is "partial 16S ribosomal RNA". It matches the Rfam family "Bacterial small subunit ribosomal RNA", at positions 28 to 507 of the family's 1533-position model. The record is from RNAcentral.
GACGAACGCUGGCGGCGUGCUUAACACAUGCAAGUCGAACGGAAAGGCCCUGCUUUUGUGGGGUGCUCGAGUGGCGAACGGGUGAGUAACACGUGAGUAACCUGCCCUUGACUUUGGGAUAACUUCAGGAAACUGGGGCUAAUACCGGAUAGGAGCUCCUGCUGCAUGGUGGGGGUUGGAAAGUUUCGGCGGUUGGGGAUGGACUCGCGGCUUAUCAGCUUGUUGGUGGGGUAGUGGCUUACCAAGGCUUUGACGGUUAGCCGGCCUUAGAGGGUGACCGGCCACCUUGGGACUGAGAUACGGCCCAGACUCCUCAGGGAGGCAGCAGUGGGGAAUACUGCACAAUGGGAGGAAGCCUGAUGCAGCAACGCCGCGUGCGGGAUGACGGCCUUCGGGUUGUAAACCGCUUUCGCCUGUGACGAAGCGUGAGUGACGGUAAUGGGUAAAGAAGCACCGGCUAACUACGUG